UCUAUUUUUUUAUUUUUGAAUUAAUUUACAUUUAGUUGUCCCUCUCUCGUUAUCAGAUUUGAUUUAUUCAUUUGGGUUACUUUUAGCCAUUCAUCCUAUUUUCUGGUUUUUAGGACUCUAAUUGAUUUUCUACAAAAUGUCAGCCUUCUAUCAUGAAAACCCUUUCAGUAAACUAUAUUGUGUUAGAUUUGAUGUGUGUAGUGUGUUGUUCUGUGAUUGUAAGUGUAAACCAUACUGUAUUAUUGAAUAUUGUAUUGAUGUUACUAUAGUACAUUGUGAAAACAAUGGGUGUGCAUUGUCACUGUAAAUAGAGAAAAUAAAACUAUAGUCGUAACUGUAACCAUUUAACAAUACUGUCUGCCAUGACCACUACAAAUAAAAGAUUGAAGAAAUAUGAGAGUAAAGAAAAAAAAGAAGAGAGGUAUUCAAUUAUCAGUCUUGGAGGUUAGGGUAUUAAAUUAUUUUUAUUGAGCAUGUGUAGUUCAUUUAUUCCCAUUUUUAGAGCACAAAAACCAAGAAAAAACUCAAGAUUAGUCGAAAUAAUGAGAUCUAUAAGGUGUGGAGGAUAUAUGUUAACAUUAGUUAGUGUCGACUUAAUUUUUCAAACUCUAAGCCAUUAUCUAGCUU
This 627-nucleotide long non-coding RNA is filed under the name Carica papaya (papaya). RNAcentral's name for it is "long non-coding RNA (CPAP_LNC000055)". The record is from RNAcentral. Lineage: Eukaryota; Viridiplantae; Streptophyta; Magnoliopsida; Brassicales; Caricaceae.